AUCCUUAUCAAUUUUUACUUCAUUUACCACUAACGCAAAUAAGGUGCCCCCACCACCAAUUUCUUUCUCAAGUGACUGCAUAGUAAUUACUGUUGAAGAGGAUUCCUUUUGACCAUGAAGCACGCGAGACUUUCCUUGCCAAUUAAAUUUCAUUGUCAUGUUGCGCCAAUCACACAACACAGGGCCCAAUUCCACCAACCAUUGCACGCCUAGUACAACAUCUAACCCUUGUAAUGGAAGUGAAAACAAUGUGACAGCAAAAGAAAAACCUUGGAUCUCCAGUGGUACAGUCUCAUGCUUCUCUUGGCAAGAUAGUUGGCCUCCAUCUGCAAUCUUCACAUUGAAAUUAUCUGUUGAAGUUACUGGCAAAUGAAGUUGUCGAGCAAUGCGAUGGCUCACAAAAUUGUGACUAGAGCCACUGUCUACCAGCACCGUAACUGGAUGUUUGCCUAUAAAUGCCUAUAACUUCAUUGUACGUGGCCCUUUCCAUCCCGAAAAGGCAUGGAGAGUGAUCUCGGCUUGCUCAUCUACACCUUCCUGCUCUAAUUCUUUAAUUAUUGGCCCAGAGUUGGAAUUAGAUUCGCUUUCCUUGACCUCUCCUCCUUCGAUGAAGAAGAGUUGUGGCACUUUACAUUUAUGGCCAUGGGUGAAUCGAUCAUUACAAUUGAAGCACAGAGCUUUCUCUUGCCUCCGCUGCAUCUCUUCCCAUGAUAUGCGCUUAACCGGAGAGCCAACAACCUGCCUUGGUGCAGUAGGUGCUGUUGCAGGUGGGGGAGCUGUGAUAAUUCGUGUUUGCGGGAUAGUUCGCGUCACUUCGACCCGUGCUUGCCUUCUUUUCCUCACGAGCUGGUCAUCCUUCAUCCUGGCCACCCCUAUAGCAUCGCGUAGAGUCUUCGGCUUAGCCAUUCGUACUUCGACCGCUAUGUCCUCACGUAGACAUCCAAGGAAAGUGCCGACUAGAGCCGAUUGGGGCCAGUCAACUCUGUUCGCCAACCUUUCAAACUCACACUGAUAAUCCCGGAGAGUCCCAGUUUGUUUUACUCUGGAUAGUGCCUCGUCAAAGCACUCGUACUCUGUAGGGCCGAAACGAGUCAUGAGUUCGCCUCAAAUAAACUCCAGGUAAUCUCCAUCCUUUCAUCUCUUUGUACCCUCUUGAGCCAUUGCCACCAUUGGUUAGCUUUUCCCUCCAGGUGGAAGGUUGCCAAGGCAACCUUCUGGUCCUCUCCAGAUUCCUGAAAUUCAAAGUAUUGAGAGACUCAACUAAGCCACUCAGUAGGAUCAUCACCCGAGAAUUUCGGAAAGUCCAUCUUAGUGAAUCUUGUGUGGUUGAAGUGGUGG
This 1338-nucleotide long non-coding RNA is filed under the name Olea europaea subsp. europaea. Lineage: Eukaryota; Viridiplantae; Streptophyta; Magnoliopsida; Lamiales; Oleaceae. The record is from RNAcentral.